Non-coding RNA from Prunus avium (sweet cherry), 429 nucleotides. The record is from RefSeq and is a predicted model, not a curated record. NCBI's taxonomy places the organism in Eukaryota, Viridiplantae, Streptophyta, Magnoliopsida, Rosales, Rosaceae.
GAAUGCAACGGUAAACUAAAAACUCCAAUUUUGUCCUCAAAUGCAAAUUGCAAAGUUUCAUUGGGUUGAAAUGCAAAUUAAAUUAGGUUAGACCAAAAUUUAAUAGUCUCCCCGCGUUUAAAAGGGGGAGGGCUCCAACGGAGUUAGUUAUCUAUCCAUACAUACAAAAAGGAGGUCGUUUUUUUCGAAACCCUGGUUUUUUGAGGUUUACCGCGCAUCCUCACUGACAAAUUGCAGGAGGAUCCGUAGGGCUAGGGCAAGUUAACAAUGGGCGUUGUGCUUAGGGACGACGAGGCAGCUUUCCGUAAGAUGGGAGACCAUGAUUUGAUCGAUUCUUACCUGGUUUAUCGCGCCAGAGAUACUCUCUGCUCUGUCUCGUCGGCUGAUACCGAAGAUUACCGGCAGCUCCUUAGCGCUAUGAACCCCGAA